RNAcentral lists this ribosomal RNA (869 nucleotides) under uncultured archaeon. RNAcentral's name for it is "bacterial SSU rRNA". It matches the Rfam family "Archaeal small subunit ribosomal RNA", at positions 1 to 878 of the family's 1478-position model. The record is from RNAcentral.
CUCCGGUUGAUCCCGCCGGACCCGACUGCUAUCAGAGUGGGACUAAGCCAUGCGAGUCGACGUAGCAAUGCGUGGCGAACGGCUCAGUAACACGUAGUCAACAUGCCCAGGGGACGUGGAUAACCUCGGGAAACUGAGAAUAAACCACGAUAGGUCACGAUUUCUGGAAUGGAUCAUGGCCUAAAUCUACAUGGCCCCUGGAUUGGACUGCGGCCGAUCAGGCUGUUGGUGAGGUAAUGGCCCACCAAACCUAUAACCGGUACGGGCUCUGAGAGGAGAAGCCCGGAGAUGGGCACUGAGACAAGGGCCCAGGCCCUAUGGGGCGCAGCAGGCGCGAAACCUCUGCAAUAGGCGAAAGCCUGACAGGGUUACUCUGAGUGAUUUCCGCUAAGGGGAUCUUUUGGCACCUCUAAAAAUGGUGCAGAAUAAGGGGUGGGCAAGUCUGGUGUCAGCCGCCGCGGUAAUACCAGCACCCCGAGUGGUCGGGACGAUUAUUGGGCCUAAAGCAUCCGUAGCCGGUUCUGCAAGUCUUCCGUUAAAUCCAGCCGCUCAACGGAUGGGCCGCGGAGGAUACUACAGGACUAGGAGGCGGGAGAGGCAAGCGGUACUCAGUGGGUAGGGGUAAAAUCCUUUGAUCCAUUGAAGACCACCAGUGGCGAAGGCGGCUUGCCAGAACGCGCUCGACGGUGAGGGAUGAAAGCUGGGGGAGCAAACCGGAUUAGAUACCCGGGUAGUCCCAGCUGUAAACGAUGCAGACUCGGUGAUGGGCUAGCCUUGUGCCAGCCCAGUGCCGUAGGGAAGCCGUUAAGUCUGCCGCCUGGGGAGUACGGUCGCAAGACUGAAACUUAAAGGAAUUGGGCGGGGGAGCA